ACCGGAGGAUUGGCCCGCGUUCGAUUAGCUUGUUGGUGAGGUAACGGCUCACCAAGGCGAUGAUCGAUAGCUGGUCUGAGAGGAUGAUCAGCCACAUUGGGACUGAGACACGGCCCAAACUCCUACGGGAGGCAGCAGUGGGGAAUAUUGGACAAUGGGCGCAAGCCUGAUCCAGCCAUGCCGCGUGAGUGAUGACGGCCUUAGGGUUGUAAAGCUCUUUCGCUCGGGACGAUAAUGACGGUACCGAGAUAAGAAGCCCCGGCUAACUUCGUGCCAGCAGCCGCGGUAAUACGAAGGGGGCUAGCGUUGUUCGGAAUUACUGGGCGUAAAGCGCGUGUAGGCGGGUCUUUAAGUCAGGGGUGAAAUGCCAAGGCUCAACCUUGGAACUGCCUUUGAUACUGGAGAUCUUGAGUCCGGGAGAGGUGAGUGGAAUUGCGAGUGUAGAGGUGAAAUUCGUAGAUAUUCGCAAGAACACCAGUGGCGAAGGCGGCUCACUGGCCCGGAACUGACGCUGAUACGCGAAAGCGUGGGGAGCAAACAGGAUUAGAUACCCUGGUAGUCCACGCUGUAAACGAUGG
RNAcentral lists this ribosomal RNA (578 nucleotides) under uncultured bacterium. Its description in RNAcentral is "bacterial SSU rRNA". It matches the Rfam family "Bacterial small subunit ribosomal RNA", at positions 217 to 812 of the family's 1533-position model. The record is from RNAcentral.